This 501-nucleotide ribosomal RNA is filed under the name uncultured bacterium. RNAcentral describes it as "partial 16S ribosomal RNA". It matches the Rfam family "Bacterial small subunit ribosomal RNA", at positions 30 to 523 of the family's 1533-position model. The record is from RNAcentral.
AUUGAACGCUGGCGGCAGGCUUAACACAUGCAAGUCGAGCGGAGAUGAGGUGCUUGCACCUUAUCUUAGCGGCGGACGGGUGAGUAAUGCUUAGGAAUCUGCAUAUUAGUGGGGGACAACAUUACGAAAGGAAUGCUAAUACCGAAUACGUCCUACGGGAGAAAGCAGGGGAUCUUCGGACCUUGCGAUAAUAGACGAGCCUAAGUCGGAGUAGCGAGUUGGUGGGGUAAAGGACUACCAAGGCGACGCUCUGUAGCGGGUCUGAGAGGAUGAUCCGCCACACUGGGACUGAGACACGGCCCAGACUCCUACGGGAGGCAGCAGUGGGGAAUAUUGGACAAUGGGGGGAAUCCUGAUCCAGCCAUGCCGCGUGUGUGAAGAAGGCCUUAUGGUUGUAAAGCACUUUAAGCGAGGAGGAGGCUACUGAGACUAAUACUCUUGGAUAGUGGACGUUACUCGCAGAAUAAGCACCGGCUAACUCUGUGCCAGCCGCCGCGGUAA